Molecule: ribosomal RNA, 990 nt
Filed under: Triticum aestivum (bread wheat)
Lineage: Eukaryota; Viridiplantae; Streptophyta; Magnoliopsida; Poales; Poaceae
Description: partial small subunit ribosomal RNA
Source: RNAcentral
AUGGGCGCGACACGCGCGGACGCCGACGAGAAGGAGGAAGGCGUGAUGACGACGGACUUCUUCUGGUCGUACACGGACGAGCCGCACGCGUCGCGCCGCCGGGAGAUCCUGGCCAAGUACCCGCAGAUCAAGGUGCUCUUCGGCCCGGACCCUCUCGCCUUCAUCAAGAUAGCCGCAGUUGUUUCACUCCAGCUAUGGACCGCCACGCUGCUGCGCGACGCAGGCUGGUCCAAGAUACUGCCGGUCGCUUACUUUUUCGGUUCCUUUCUGAAUCACAACCUCUUCCUCGCGAUCCAUGAGCUCAGCCACAACCUCGCCUUCGCCACCCCAUCCCUGAACCGCUGGCUAGGCAUCUUCGCAAACCUCCCCAUCGGCGUCCCAAUGUCGGUGACAUUCCAGAAAUACCACCUGGAGCACCACCGGUUCCAAGGCGUGGACGGGAUCGACAUGGACAUCCCCAGCCAGACGGAGGCGCACGUCGUAAAGAACACCGUCAGCAAAUCCAUCUGGGUCGUGCUCCAGCUCUUCUUCUACGCGCUCAGGCCGCUCUUCCUGAAGCCGAAGCCUCCGGGCCUGUGGGAGUUCACCAACCUGAUGAUCCAGGUGGCGCUCGACGCGGCCAUGGUGUACCUCUACGGCUGGAAGUCGCUGGCCUACCUCAUCCUGUCGACGUUCCUCGGCGGUGGCAUGCACCCGAUGGCCGGCCACUUCAUCUCGGAGCACUACGUGUUCAGCCCGGAGCAGGAGACCUACUCGUACUACGGGCCGCUGAACCUGAUGACGUGGCACGUGGGGUACCACAACGAGCACCACGACUUCCCCAGGAUCCCCGGCGCCAAGCUGCACAAGGUGAAGGAGAUCGCGCCGGAGUACUAUGACAGUCUGAAAUCAUACAGGUCCUGGAGCCAGGUGAUAUACAUGUACGUCAUGGACCAGACGGUCGGCCCUUUCAGCCGGAUGAAGAGGAAGGCGCCCAAGAAAGAUUUGUAG